This 62-nucleotide transfer RNA is filed under the name Dorcus davidis. RNAcentral's name for it is "tRNA-Tyr". The record is from RNAcentral. Lineage: Eukaryota; Metazoa; Arthropoda; Insecta; Coleoptera; Lucanidae.
GGUAAAAUGGCUGAAAAUAGGCGGUAGGCUGUAAACUUAUUUAUGAAUUUAAUUCUUUUACC